This is a small nuclear RNA of Aricia agestis (brown argus), 104 nucleotides long. NCBI's taxonomy places the organism in Eukaryota, Metazoa, Arthropoda, Insecta, Lepidoptera, Lycaenidae. The record is from RefSeq and is a predicted model, not a curated record.
CAAACUUAUGGGCCUGUAGUCCUAAAAUUGGAACGAUACAGAGAAGAUUAGCAUGGCCCCUGCGCAAGGAUGACACGCAAAAUCGUGAAGCGUUCCAAAUUUUU